Arachis ipaensis is the source of this 218-nucleotide non-coding RNA. Lineage: Eukaryota; Viridiplantae; Streptophyta; Magnoliopsida; Fabales; Fabaceae. The record is from RefSeq and is a predicted model, not a curated record.
GCUUCACCUGUUGCUGGAACCACUAACUGAACAGGCUGAGUCACGGUGAUUCUAGCUGCCAAGGGCGGUUCUGUGGCUGUCGAAACCACCGCUGAGGCUUCUGUUAUUUGGUUCAGAUGAUAUUCUUUAGUUACAGAUUAAGUUAUCGGAGCCACGUGUUACGCGUAAGGGUUGUCCUUGCUGCGGCGAAAGUGAACAAAGCUGUGAUGUAAGCUGCC